CGUACGGGUGAGUAACACGUGGAUCAUCUACCUUUUAGUGAGGAGUACCGUUGGGAAACCGACGACAAUACCGCAUAAGCCCGAGAGGGGAAAGCAGCAAUGCGCUGAAAGAGGAGUCCGCGGCUGAUUAGCUAGUUGGUAGGGUAAUGGCCUACCAAGGCAUCGAUCAGUAGCCGGCCUGAGAGGGCACACGGCCACACUGGCACUGAAACACGGUCCAG
Molecule: ribosomal RNA, 221 nt
Filed under: uncultured bacterium
Lineage: Bacteria
Description: partial 16S ribosomal RNA
Rfam family: Bacterial small subunit ribosomal RNA
Source: RNAcentral